AUAGAGCUGACGAGUCCAAAAUGGGACGAAAUGUGCAUCCUGGAU
This 45-nucleotide non-coding RNA is filed under the name Schistosoma bovis. Lineage: Eukaryota; Metazoa; Platyhelminthes; Trematoda; Strigeidida; Schistosomatidae. RNAcentral also lists the same sequence under 1 other name. The record is from RNAcentral.